RNAcentral lists this non-coding RNA (30 nucleotides) under Homo sapiens (human). The record is from RNAcentral. Lineage: Eukaryota; Metazoa; Chordata; Mammalia; Primates; Hominidae.
CCUCGAACUCCUGACCUCAGGUGAUCCACC